GAUGAACGCUGGCGGCGUGCCUAAUACAUGCAAGUCGAGCGAACAGACGAGGAGCUUGCUCCUCUGACGUUAGCGGCGGACGGGUGAGUAACACGUGGAUAACCUACCUAUAAGACUGGGAUAACUUCGGGAAACCGGAGCUAAUACCGGAUAAUAUAUUGAACCGCAUGGUUCAAUAGUGAAAGACGGUUUUGCUGUCACUUAUAGAUGGAUCCGCGCCGCAUUAGCUAGUUGGUAAGGUAACGGCUUACCAAGGCGACGAUGCGUAGCCGACCUGAGAGGGUGAUCGGCCACACUGGAACUGAGACACGGUCCUGACUCCUACGGGAGGCAGCAGUAGGGAAUCUUCCGCAAAGGGCGAAAGCCUGACGGAGCAACGCCGCGUGAGUGAUGAAGGUCUUCGGAUCGUAAAACUCUGUUAUUAGGGAAGAACAAAUGUGUAAGUAACUAUGCACGUCUUGACGGUACCUAAUCAGAAAGCCACGGCUAACUACGUG
Molecule: ribosomal RNA, 497 nt
Filed under: uncultured bacterium
Lineage: Bacteria
Description: partial 16S ribosomal RNA
Rfam family: Bacterial small subunit ribosomal RNA
Source: RNAcentral